Molecule: ribosomal RNA, 371 nt
Filed under: uncultured bacterium
Lineage: Bacteria
Description: partial 16S ribosomal RNA
Rfam family: Bacterial small subunit ribosomal RNA
Source: RNAcentral
CCUACGGGAGGCAGCAGUGAGGAAUAUUGGUCAAUGGGAGAGAUCCUGAACCAGCCAAGCCGCGUGAGGGAAGACGGCCCUAUGGGUUGUAAACCUCUUUUGCCGGAGAACAAAACCCGGGACGUGUCCCGGACUGCGUGUAUCCGAAGAAAAAGCAUCGGCAAACCCCGUGCCAGCAGCCGAGGUAAUACGGAGGAUGCGAGGGUUAUCCGGAUUUAUCGGGUUACAGGGGUGCGUGGGCGGUCCGUUAUGUCAGCGGUAAAAUGGCGGGGCUAAACCCCGUCGAGCCGUUGAAACUGGCAGACUUGAGUGGGCGAGAGGUACGCGGAAUGCGCGGUGUAGCGGUGAAAUGCGUAGAUAUCGCGAAGAAC